Molecule: long non-coding RNA, 4276 nt
Organism: Hydractinia symbiolongicarpus
Lineage: Eukaryota; Metazoa; Cnidaria; Hydrozoa; Anthoathecata; Hydractiniidae
Exons: 4
Source: RefSeq, a predicted model, not a curated record
AACGAAAAAAAAAAUCUUGAUUUGAUGGUUCUUGACAUGGAAAUUAUUCAAAUGUUUAACAGUAAUUACAUUUUCCAUUGUUUUUUUUUAUGUUUUUCUGCUUAAGUAGAUUUUUAAUGAGGCGUUACAACUAGUCUAUACGGGUAACACAAUAAUCACAUCUAUGAUUGGCAUUGGAGAUGUUUUUAUUUUUCUUCAAGAUGCCGGACAACUUAUGUCAUGACUCAUUUUACGCUGCGACACGACGUCAAUGCAUUAUUCUGACAAAAUGAUACAGGCAACGAGUAGGCAAACUUCUGAAGAAAACGUGUUUGUAUACGGACAAGUUAUUGCUGACGUCAUCAAAUGUCUAAAAUCAUCAUUCAUCGGCAAAAGUGGAUUUUUUCAUGGGAAUUGCAAUAAGUUAUUUUUGAUAGGGUUAAGAUUCCAUGGAAAAAGAAGAAUAGGAAUAUCAGAAAAAAUCAGCUUUUAUGAGCUAUUCUGCAUUUCUCAGCAACAAGUAAUUUAACCUAAGUACGGAGUUCACUGAUUCCAUUCUUGAGAAAGGCUUCUUUAUCAAUCCAAACAUUGUUCAAAAGUUCCAGUACUUUAACGAACCUACGCAUGGCUUCGAUAUAACUGACCACUAUGAAAGCAGCAUUUUUUUUCGCAUACAUUUUAAAAUUAGAAACGUUAUUGAAGGAUAUGAGCAAACUAUUUCUGUACCGCAUAAGAAAAAAUUUACUUAAAACAAAACAAAAUCGUGUUGAAUCAUAAUCAGAUAUGUGUUUUAUGCAACAAGUAUAGGAACCAACAUAACAAUUGAUCUUAAUGUUUGGUAAAUUGUGCAAACAAACGUCACUGGGUCCUUUACAAACGUCAUUCAAGUCUAUAAAAUAACCUGAAGUUACUUGGCUUGAUUAUUUUAUUUUCGAUACCCUUGGAACAGCACAUCAACAAGACGUUAAAGUUUUUAAGAAACCAAUAGAAAAUGGAAAGAAAAAACAUUCUGUUGUAUUACAUACUGAUAUGCGCAAUUACCUAUUCUCAUACUACUGUAUCACCAUAUGGUAAAUGCAUCUAUCAAUGCCAGACUAACUUUGCUCAAUGUCAGGCAAUAGAUGAAAACGAGAUGACUAUUUGCUUCAAUGGAAAGAAACAAUGUGUAAGAAUUUGCAUAGCGAAAAGUUCGGGUACAUUGGCAGCAAAAAAGUUUCUAUUUGAAAAAAUCUUAAAGAAAAUGAAGAAGAGAGAAUAUUAGAUUGCCCGCAUGGUGAAAUUGUAAAUUCUUGGUCGACAACAUUUGAGAGAGCAUGUUAGUGUUUUGAAAAUAUGUAAGGUUGGAAAAGUAGACUGCCAUGAAAAAUCAGAGCAAAGAAAAUAUAUGUGCUAACUGAAUUGGAGGCAAUCAGGAAACUGCUUAAAAAGAACAUUCUAUUUUGCGUUUAAAUUUAUUUUAUUAUACUGUAUGGUAUUUAUGUUGUUGUAAUUAACUUUAUUAUUCAAAAUCCGUGCGAAUAUAGAAAUGCUUAUGACACAUUUAUAUUUAUUCUGUUCUUUCUCUUUUUUUUUUUUUUAUUUGAUGUGCAGGAAAAAAAGCAAAGAAAUAGGAUUUUUUCAUGAAGGAAAUAAAACAUUUUCUCUCACGUAGCGGAGAACUAGUCCUUUUUAAAUAAUUAAGAAACUUCCUUCUCCAGUAUUUUACACUCGUCACAAUACCAGUCAUUAUUAUUUCAUAAAGAAUGUUUAAACGGCUUAUAAGCCAUUAAUAGAGUUAGCUAUGAUUUUCUUGGAAGUAUUAUUAUCUUAACAAACCCAUGCAUUUAUGCUGGCAGAAUAUGACAUAUUAAACGUUAAUGGUUUUGUUCAUCAAAGUUACAAACAUUUAGAACAAAAGUAGUAGCACGUGUUGCAGUUAAAACAUAAAGAGAGAUUUUAAAGCUUUCACACAGAGUCAUAUAAAAAUUUAAACUUUUACUGUCAAGCUAAAGAAAACAAGUGAUUAAUCACUUAUAUAAUCUGUCAAUUCACAAAAUAAAUCUAGAAAACAUUGCAUCUAAAACAGCACAUUGCCGAAAGAGUGGAAGUGGAAGCUUGUAAUAAGACGAUACGAAGCUAAAUUGUGAAUGUGCGAAACUGUCUACCUGUACUACACGCUCUAUCCGAUGUAAAAUGCAGAUAUCAUCGUUCGUUUUUUAAUUGCAGAAAGUAACAGCCAACAUUCUAAUUACAUAAAUUUUCCGUUAUCCCUGAAAAUUCUGGAUAGACGUGGAAAUUUAAUUUUCCUUCGAAAGCCUGAAAAACAUUUUUUAAAGGUUUUUAAUUAUUUUUUUUGUUGAUAAAUGAAAAAUAGCUAGCUAGCUUUGAACAGAAGAUGAUAUGAGUAACUGGCUGGCUUUUUCCAAAUGUAUUUCACAUUUGGAAAAAGCCAGCCAGUCAAUGGAUUUAUCAGAAUUGUUGAUGUUGCUGGCACAUAUCUGUCUCCGCUUAUUGAGUGUACAUUGAGUCUAGCAGUAUUUAAAAAUCACAUUUUACACAUCUCUGAUUUUAGAGUUAGGAUAUUAAUUUGACUUUCUUAUUGUGGUUGACAAGUUGGACACUAAACUCCAUGUUGUUAGUAUUGGUGCUAAAAUGUAAGGACUCUUCCAAGCGAUUCACAGCUAUUCUUGGGAUGUUCUUGCUGAAUGUUUAUCACAUUUUAAGCCUCUUCCCUAUGUCCUAUUUUGUAAAAAAAAUAUUAAAUAUUCCAAACCGUGUUAGUUUUUUUGGGGUGACGAAAUUUCUAGUGAUUUUACUCAGUCAAAAUAAAUUUCAACUUGGGAAAAGUUCAAAGCAUUCUCCAAUUCAUUUUGAAAAUUGUUCUUGGUGAAGGAAAACAUUGCAAAAAUUGAUUCUAACUAUUUUAGAACAUAUUUUAUAUAUACUUAUCACUUACGUUAUGUUUUUCUUGUUAUGCCUGUUAUAUUUACUUAGCUCUUUUGUUAUAUUUUAUUGACUUUAUUUCUUCCCCUUAAGCAAAACAAAAAUUAUCAAAAAUGUUGACCUCAUCAAAAUUUUGAUGACGUCAAAGAUACAUAGGGGGGACCACCAUAUGGUCCUCUCCCAACGAUUCAGCCCUUUAAAGCCCAGUUGGAAUAGGGUUAAUAAAAAACAAAAUGGUUAAUGAAACGGUUUCGGUGUCAUGCCAAAAAGAAAUUUUUUUUUAACAAAAUGCUUUUCAAACUUUAGCUUUAAUCAGGAAAGACAUUGUAAACUUUUGGUUUAAUAUUUUUACAGAUCAACACUAUUGAGGAUCUCCUUGAAAAUAAUUUAUUGUAAAUAAACAACUUCAACAGUUCUGCGAAAUUUUUAAGAUUUAUACAAAUAAACCUAGUUGAUAAGAACAUUGAUUUCAACAUUCUUAUAAGAGCAAGAUAUGUAUGUUGUAAGUCAAGUUAAAUCUUAAACCAAGUUGACCAGAAGUAAAGAGUGGUCGAGCGCAUUUUAUAGAAAACCAAGUUGACCCAAUGAAUUAGUUAAAGUUGCCCGUACUGCGUAAAGUUCCUGAUGUAUUGUCUGAAGUCUGGACAAUAAGGUAAAAGUCUAAAUUGUGUUCAAAAUAGGCUAAAGUGAUUGCUAAGAAAUUUAAAGGUAGAAAGAUGUAUUUUCGAAGUUAAAAUAUAUUUACAAGCAUUUCACACUUAUGUACAAAAAGAGUGUGUUGUGGCUAAAAAUCUUUCAACAAACUCUCAUACUUUGGCGUAAUUGGACCGUUCUACAGGCAAUCGUAACACUUCACUUUGCCGUCUAUGUUCAACAAUAAAAUGUAGUGGUCUACGCUUCCUCUACGGUAUAGGACGUAAUCACGAUAAAGUGAUAUAUAGCAUCCUUUUACCUGAAAAUAACUGUGUAAAAUAAAUAGGGAAAGUCGAUUAAGUUUUGCAAACCUGUCAAAUUAUAUUACCGAAUUAUGCAUAGUUAUUAUUUAAAUUCUGUAAUAGUUUAACAUUAUCUAGGAUAUGAAAAAAAGGUUUUUUGAGGUGAGGUGUAACCUUUAAUACGUAACAUUGGUUGCAACAUGUACAAUUUAUUCUUUUAUUCUCUUCCGUUUUCAAACAUUGAAUUCACAUUAGCUACUUACUUACUUACUGUAAGUAGCUAAGGUUAACCAUAACAAUGCUGGAUACAAAUGUAUGAUUAUUGACAGUCAAUAAGAAAGAGAGAGAAAAUAGUGACAGAGAGAGAGUGUGACAGUGACAUAAUUACAACAAUGUUGAAAAUGCUUUGUAGAUUACUAAUGCAACUAAGCUACAGCUAC